RNAcentral lists this ribosomal RNA (468 nucleotides) under uncultured bacterium. RNAcentral describes it as "partial 16S ribosomal RNA". It matches the Rfam family "Bacterial small subunit ribosomal RNA", at positions 28 to 507 of the family's 1533-position model. The record is from RNAcentral.
GACGAGCGCUGGCGGCGUGCUUAACACAUGCAAGUCGAACGGAAAGGCCCUGCUUUUGUGGGGUGCUCGAGUGGCGAACGGGUGAGUAACACGUGAGUAACCUGCCCUUGACUUUGGGAUAACUUCAGGAAACUGGGGCUAAUACCGGAUAGGAGCUCCUGCUGCAUGGUGGGGGUUGGAAAGCUUCGGCGGUUGGGGAUGGACUCGCGGCUUAUCAGCUUGUUGGUGGGGUAGUGGCUUACCAAGGCUUUGACGGGUAGCCGGCCUGAGAGGGUGACCGGCCACAUUGGGACUGAGAUACGGCCCAGACUCCUACGGGAGGCAGCAGUGGGGAAUAUUGCACAAUGGGCGGAAGCCUGAUGCAGCAACGCCGCGUGCGGGAUGACGGCCUUCGGGUUGUAAACCGCUUUCGCCUGUGACGAAGCGUGAGUGACGGUAAUGGGUAAAGAAGCACCGGCUAACUACGUG